AGCCGCGGUAAUUCCAGCUCCAAUAGCGUAUAUUAAAGUUGUUGCAGUUAAAAAGNUCCGUAGUUGAAUUUCGAGAUCAAUUUGUUGGUCGUGCCUCGGUACGUACUGGCAAUUUUGAUUUCUCCCUUCUGAAGAACCAUGAUGUCAUUAAUUUGGUGUCAUGGGGAAUCAGGACCGUUACUUUGAAAAAUUAGAGUGUUUAAAGCAGGCUCGCGCUUGAAUACAUUAGCGUGGAAUAAUGAAAUAGGACGUUUGAUUCUAUUUUGUUGGUUUCUAGGGAUCGACGUAAUGAUUAAUAGGGAUAUUGGGGGCAUUAGUAUUCAAUUGUCAGAGGUGAAAUUCUUGGAUUUAUUGAAGACUAACUACUGCGAAAGCAUUUGCCAAGGAUGUUUUCAUUAAUCAAGAACGAAAGUUAGGGGGAUCGAAGACGAUCAGAUACCGUCGUAGUCUUAACCAUAAACUAUGCCGACUAGGGAUCGGAUGAUGUUAAUUUUUUAAUGACUCAUUCGGCGCCUUACGG
RNAcentral lists this ribosomal RNA (520 nucleotides) under uncultured Glomus. RNAcentral describes it as "SSU rRNA". It matches the Rfam family "Eukaryotic small subunit ribosomal RNA", at positions 572 to 1093 of the family's 1831-position model. Lineage: Eukaryota; Fungi; Glomeromycota; Glomeromycetes; Glomerales; Glomeraceae. The record is from RNAcentral.